Oryctolagus cuniculus (rabbit) is the source of this 304-nucleotide non-coding RNA. NCBI's taxonomy places the organism in Eukaryota, Metazoa, Chordata, Mammalia, Lagomorpha, Leporidae. The record is from RefSeq and is a predicted model, not a curated record.
UAAAUUCAUUUGCUACUUUUUUUUUUUUUCACUGUGGGUUGCACUAAUGCUAGAUGUGGUAUCAAGUGGAACAAAAUCUAGCAAACAACCAAACCAGGCUACAUUGGAAUAAUUCUAACAAAAGAAGGCAGUGCUGCUAAGGGAGAGGUGGUAGGAAUCUCCCCAGAAAUGCCUCAGAAAGAAGAUUCUGACAGAUAUCCUUGAUUUGAUGUGCAAUGAAAGUCAGAAAAGAUAAAAUCUGAGAAGUUCCCAGUUUCCCCAAGACCAUUUGUUGAAGAGACUGUCCUUGCUUAAGAGAUUGAUU